This 729-nucleotide ribosomal RNA is filed under the name uncultured bacterium. Its description in RNAcentral is "bacterial SSU rRNA". It matches the Rfam family "Bacterial small subunit ribosomal RNA", at positions 666 to 1395 of the family's 1533-position model. The record is from RNAcentral.
AUUCAAGGCGUAGCGGUGAAAUGCGUAGAGGUCUUGAGGAACAUCAGUGGCGAAGGCGACUAACUGGCACUACACUGACGCUGAGGUACGAAAGCGUGGGGAGCGAACAGGAUUAGAUACCCUGGUAGUCCACGCCCUAAACGAUGAGGACUGGCUGUUGGCGCUAUAGACGCGUCGGUAGCGAAGCUAACGCGUUAAGUUCUCCGCCUGGGGAGUACGGCCGCAAGGCUGAAACUCAAAGGAAUUGACGGGGGCCCGCACAAGCGGUGGAGCAUGUGGUUUAAUUCGAUGAUACGCGAGGAACCUUACCUGGGCUUAAAUGCAGUUUGACCGAUCUGGAAACGGAUCUUCUCUUCGGAGCAAAUUACAAGGUGCUGCAUGGUUGUCGUCAGCUCGUGCCGUGAGGUGUCGGGUUAAGUCCCAUAACGAGCGCAACCCCUAUCGUUAGUUGCUAGCAGGUAAUGCUGAGGACUCUAGCGAGACUGCCACCGUAAGGUGAGAGGAAGGUGGGGAUGACGUCAAAUCAGCACGGCCCUUACGUCCAGGGCUACACACGUGUUACAAUGGCUAGUACAAAGGGCAGCUACCUGGUGACAGGAUGCUAAUCUCAAAAGCUAGUCUCAGUUCGGAUCGGAGUCUGCAACUCGACUCCGUGAAGUUGGAUUCGCUAGUAAUCGUAUAUCAGCAAUGAUACGAUGAAUACGUUCCCGGGCCUUGUACACUCCGCCC